GGUUCCGAUCAUACCAGCACUAAUGCACCGGAUCUCAUCAGAACUCUGCAGUUAAGCGUGUUUGGGCGAGAGUAGUACUAGCAUGGGUAAGUCCUCGUGUUGCACCCC
Molecule: ribosomal RNA, 108 nt
Filed under: Spinacia oleracea (spinach)
Lineage: Eukaryota; Viridiplantae; Streptophyta; Magnoliopsida; Caryophyllales; Amaranthaceae
Source: RNAcentral